AGAGUUUGAUCCUGGCUCAGGAUGAACGCUGGCGGUCUGCUUAACACAUGCAAGUCGAACGGUGUCUUCGGACACAGUGGCGGACGGGUGAGUAACACGUGAGAACCUGCCUUAAGGUCGGGGAUAACAGUUGGAAACGACUGCUAAUACCGGAUGUGCCUACGGGUGAAAGAUUAAUUGCCUGAAGAUGGGCUCGCGUCUGAUUAGCUAGUUGGAGUGGUAACGGCACACCAAGGCGACGAUCAGUAGCUGGUCUGAGAGGAUGAUCAGCCACACUGGGACUGAGACACGGCCCAGACUCCUACGGGAGGCAGCAGUGGGGAAUUUUCCGCAAUGGGCGAAAGCCUGACGGAGCAAGACCGCGUGAGGGAGGAAGGCUCUUGGGUUGUAAACCUCUUUUGUCAGGGAAGAACACAAUGACGGUACCUGACGAAUCAGCAUCGGCUAACUCCGUGCCAGCAGCCGCGGUAAUACGGAGGAUGCAAGCGUUAUCCGGAAUUAUUGGGCGUAAAGCGUCCGCAGGUGGUUGUACAAGUUUGCUGUCAAAGCGCGGAGCUUAACUCCGUAAAGGCGGUGGAAACUGUGCGACUAGAGUUCGGUAGGGGUCGCGGGAAUUCCCAGUGUAGCGGUGAAAUGCGUAGAUAUUGGGAAGAACACCGGUGGCGAAAGCGCGCGACUGGACCGAGACUGACACUCAUGGACGAAAGCUAGGGGAGCGAAAGGGAUUAGAUACCCCUGUAGUCCUAGCCGUAAACGAUGGGUACUAGGUGUUGCCCGUAUCGACCCGGGCAGUGCCGUAGCUAACGCGUUAAGUACCCCGCCUGGGGAGUACGCACGCAAGUGUGAAACUCAAAGGAAUUGACGGGGGCCCGCACAAGCGGUGGAGUAUGUGGUUUAAUUCGAUGCAACGCGAAGAACCUUACCAGGGCUUGACAUGUCGCGAAUCCUUGUGAAAGCAGGGAGUGCCUUCGGGAGCGCGAACACAGGUGGUGCAUGGCUGUCGUCAGCUCGUGUCGUGAGAUGUUGGGUUAAGUCCCGCAACGAGCGCAACCCUCGUCGUUAGUUGCCAGCAUUCAGUUGGGCACUCUGACGAGACUGCCGGUGACAAACCGGAGGAAGGUGGGGAUGACGUCAAGUCAGCAUGCCCCUUACGCCCUGGGCUACACACGUACUACAAUGCUUCGGACAAAGGGUUGCAAGUCGGCGACGACAAGCUAAUCUCGUAAACCGAGGCUCAGUUCAGAUUGCAGGCUGCAACUCGCCUGCAUGAAGGCGGAAUCGCUAGUAAUCGCAGGUCAGCAUACUGCGGUGAAUACGUUCCCGGGCCUUGUACACACCGCCCGUCACACCAUGGAAGUUGGCCACGCCCGAAGUCGUUACUCCAACCGCAAGGAGGAGGACGCCGAAGGCAGGGCUGAUGACUGGGGUGAAGUCGUAACAAGGUAGCCGUACCGGAAGGUGUGGCUGGAUCACCUCCUUUUUAGGGAGACCUCCCGACUCUUCGUCAAGCCGCUAAAUGCGCUUGACAGGAGCUGGUCAUCUCAGGUCGUUCGAGGAUUAGUGUUGGCUUUCAACUGUUUAGGUUUGGUUCAUGGGCUAUUAGCUCAGGUGGUUAGAGCGCACCCCUGAUAAGGGUGAGGUCCCUGGUUCGAGUCCAGGAUGGCCCACCUUGUAAAUUGGUACGAAUGGGGGUUUAGCUCAGCUGGUAGAGCGCCUGCUUUGCAAGCAGGAUGUCAGCGGUUCGAGUCCGCUAACCUCCACUGGGUAGUAUUCAACACCUUGUAAGGGCUACUGUGUUUUUCUUCAGCAACUUAUCUAGUUUUAAUGUUAAGCUAGAGAGCUGCUGGAGUUAUCCAGCCAGAACCUUGAAAACUGCAUAGUUAACUUGUCAGGUAGUUAGUGAAGACUGAGCAACGCCUCAGUUGAAGCUAAUCACAGACACCAAUGUAAGAAAUUGUGGUCAAGCUACAAAGGGCUUACGGUGGAUACCUAGGCACACAGAGGCGAAGA
This 2010-nucleotide ribosomal RNA is filed under the name Chroakolemma opaca 686. RNAcentral describes it as "bacterial SSU rRNA". The stretch from base 1 to 1480 matches the Rfam family "Bacterial small subunit ribosomal RNA". Lineage: Bacteria; Bacillati; Cyanobacteriota; Cyanophyceae; Leptolyngbyales; Leptolyngbyaceae. The record is from RNAcentral.